CCUGCGCCGUCCGCCGGCCCACGCCCUGCGCCGCCCGCUUUCUUCUCUCCUCGCUGCCUGGCGUUCCCGCGCAUCCUGGUGGGCCCGGCGCUGCCGCAGCACCUGCCGGUGGUGAGGGAGGAGCCGCCGCCAUUGACGGCAGCGGGCUGACAGUGGCGAAGGCGCGGAAGGUGCUACGCGCCCACCAGCUCUCCUCAACCCGCCGCCCGCCGGCGCUGCCUCACCUCCUCCCCUCCCCCUGUCCUGCAGCCUGCUCUCCUCUCCCUGCCGAUCGCCACCCGCGCCCGGAUUCGUCGCGCCGGCCUCCCACUCCUCCGUCCUCCACCGACCUACGAUGCGUGCCUGCGCCGGCUUGCUCUCCUCGCCCCGCCGCUGGUGCACCGCCCGUGCCCGGAUUCAUCGCGUCGGGCCGCCCCACACUGCGCCGGCCUACUCGCCUCCCCCCGCAUGACGCUAGCCUGCUCUCCUCUCCCCGUCGCUCUGCGCCGCCCGCAUCAGGCCACCCUGCGUUGUGUCGGCCUCCUCGCCUCCCCCGCGCAUCCCAUCGAUCAUCACAAGCAGAUGGCGUGGCCACUGCCUCCAUCGACACCUGAUGGAUUAGAUUAUGGAGAUGCCUAAUCGCCAAGUCAAUUAACCAACCAUGCUCAGAGGGAAAGUCCAACCAAGAACAUCAAACUCUCCUCUAUUGUUAUUAUCUUUCUCAAGUUAAUUGCUGCUUUUUGUUCAACCUAUAUGAUUUUAGCAACUUUUAUGUUUCUAAAGUUAUUUCAACGCUCAAAAAUUCAGAAUAUAAGGUACAUACUGUUACAAUUUGUUGGUAUGGUUACAUUUUCUUUGGAAUUGUACAUUUGCUUAAAGAAUUGCCCAACCAUACUAAAACAUGGCCACAUGGAAAUCCUGGUGAGUUCAUCAGUAGUCUUUUAUGACUUACGAUAGAUUUAUAACUGAUUUAUAAACACGUCUGAACAUACUAAUCAACUUUGGUACUGCUAUGAGCUUCUUUUUUUCGGUAUCUAUCUACAUUAACACCUCAAUAGGCAACCAAGAUUUUUAGAUUUGCUAAGUGCGCCGUGGAACUGUCAAAAUAUUGCUAGCACAUGGAGGUUUGUUGUUCCAUCCAUCCUUAUUAUUUUUUUGGGAAUCCAUCAUUAUUAUUGAUGUUUUAUUCAUGUUUAUUGAUAAAAAAAAUAGAGAAUGCUAAGGUAUCUCUUCAGAGACCAGAUAAAAUGUUGUCCUUUACUAACUGAAAUGGUUUAACCUUGCUAACAUUGUUAUUUUACCAUCUCGAACAUGCCAAACAAUUUAUUCCACUAGCUAAAAAGGCAUUACGAUAUACCAUGCCUAUGAUCUUCGAAUUCUUAUAUUUUGUUUACUGUAGCAUGCAGUUGCCUCCAUAUAUAUUGUUCUUAUGGAAAAUUGAUUUCAUGAACUAUGAAUUGUUGCCUCAUCGCGACAGUGGGCCAGUUGUUACCCACUCAGUCAUCAAUAUGCUAUAAAGCUUCUUCCACAGCGUGCCACGUCAUCAUUUUCUAUGAGCCAUUGGAUUGACUACGUGAUUAGCAGAUCGUCAGCAUCAAACAAAACCGCUCGCCGAGACCAAAGGUUUGAGCGCAUGUCUUUAAUCCGCUUCGUCUUCGUCUCAUGCCGCAACCCAUCCAUCCCUCUUGAAGUGAAACAGCUGUUGUCAAAGGGAUGUUGGCAUCCAAUAUAGUUGGUGGCUUCAAUACUGCUCGACUUCUCACCCUCUACUCAUCGCAUCUGCCAUGGCGUCAACCAUGUCCCAGAAGCAGGUUUUCCCCUUCUUAUAUUCUUUGCUGAUACUUUGUUCCUAACCUACUUAGAAGAUUCUAUUUUUGUUACUCCAAAUAUCUUAUUGAUUUAUAUAUGAUGCAAUGUUCAGGCACAACCGCACAAGCAAUAUUUUUUCUGUUGCUCUGCAACAUCUUUUAUGCAUCCCUAUGUCCUAAUGACCGCAAGUUAAUUAAUAGUAAAACCCUGACUUUUCAACAUUCAGUCUCUAACAGUGUAUCAUCUGCAGAGAAUAUCUAGCCUUUUGUUUUCUUAUUUGGAAAUUUUCACUUGCUGUUAAAAAUUUUAAA
Molecule: long non-coding RNA, 2099 nt
Organism: Oryza brachyantha (malo sina)
Lineage: Eukaryota; Viridiplantae; Streptophyta; Magnoliopsida; Poales; Poaceae
Exons: 3
Source: RefSeq, a predicted model, not a curated record